GACAGAGGUGCCAAGCGUUAGGCGGAAUCACUGGGCUUAAAGCGUGUGUAGGUGGAUGUCUAAGUACCUUGUGAAAUCCCAUGGCUCAACCAUGGAACUGCUCGGUAUACUGGAUGUCUUGAGCCACUUAGGGGCUACCGGAACAAAUGGUGGAGCGGUGAAAUGCGUAGAUAUCAUUUGGAACGCCAAUGGUGAAAACAGGUAGCUGGGAGUGUGCUGACACUGAGACACGAAAGCCAGGGGAGCGAACGGG
Molecule: ribosomal RNA, 253 nt
Filed under: uncultured bacterium
Lineage: Bacteria
Description: partial 16S ribosomal RNA
Rfam family: Bacterial small subunit ribosomal RNA
Source: RNAcentral